CCUUGGAUCAAGAAUUAUAUGGUUGGGAUGAUUGCGGUCGAUCUCUCUAGGAUUGAGUGGUCCUUAUAAGGUAAUAAUAUUAAUUCAAAGAUUAUAAAUGAUCCAAAGGGUUGAUCUAAGAGCCAAAAAGUCGGAAGUACCAGGUCCUCUAUGCUUUCAAUAGCAUAGUAGCUCUGCUAUAUAUAUCGAGAGAGUACGUCUUUUGUACUUUCGAAAGUACAGAGGCUUUCGUACUUAUAAGUUAUUUUCAAUGAUAGGAUAUCCGAUUCGGCGAUUGACUUAGUUAACCAUAAUCUACCUUAUUGGAGCUAUGUAGAAACGAAAUUUUAUAAAUUUUUGACAUCAUUUACCAAGUGAUCAAAAGGUCUCAAAAUUAACAAAAUUUUAUAAAUUUUUGACAUCAUUUACCAAGUGAUCAAAAGGUCUCAAAAUUGACUAUUUUAAUAGUUGAUGUAGCACGCUUUUAAGUUCAACGGUGUAGAACAAUCCAAAUUACAUGAAACUUUAAUAAAAAAUUCUACUUAAUAUCAAUAGCAAGAACAAUACUUGUGAUUUGAAAUUUGAGUCUUUUAUCACUAUUUUUUUAUGAGAUUUUUAUUUUCAGCUGUUCAUUUUGAGGCUAUUGGUUCACUAAGCAAAUGAAGUCAAAAAAUUAUGAAAUUUAAUUUCUACACAGUUCCAACAGUGUAGAUCAUGUGUAACGGAACCGAUCGCUGAAUCGAAAAGCCCUUCAUUGAAAACAACUUACAAUCACAGAGGCCUCGAUACAUUCGAAAGGAUAGGAGAGCCUAG
Molecule: long non-coding RNA, 792 nt
Filed under: Ananas comosus (pineapple)
Lineage: Eukaryota; Viridiplantae; Streptophyta; Magnoliopsida; Poales; Bromeliaceae
Description: long non-coding RNA (ACOM_LNC043776)
Source: RNAcentral